GGAUUGAUUCAUAAGGAACAUGAAAUGGAGAGAGAACUAUACCAGUUUGAAAAUUCUAAAGAUUAAUCUUAACAAACAAAUUGGCCAAGAGUGAUAUCACUUCACAAGACUAAGAAAGAGUAACAAAUUGGGGUAAGCUUAUAUGGUCUAAAUAUAUUAUUCCUCGUAUCUCUAUUCAUUCAUGGAAAGUGUUACAAGGUAAGGUAUUGUCAGAAGAUGUGUUGCAACGACGAGGAUUUUCCUUGGCAUCUCAUUGUGUCCUUUGUGGCUUGGAGGGUGAAUCAUUGCUUCACAUUUUUUUCUCAUGCUCUUAUGCUUAUUCCUUGUGGGGAUGCUGGGUAUCUUGGUUUGAGUUGGGUGUUAUGCCAUCAACUAUUAUGGAUUUGUUAUUCUAUGGUUUGAAUGGUCGUAGCCAAUAACUUAGAGAAUUGUGGCUGCUUUGUUUUACUACUACUCUAUGGUUUAUUUGGAAGGCAAGGAACAUAAUGAAGCAUGAUGGUCGUUUCAUUGGUGUGGAUGCUUUAUGCAAACUCAUGAUGGUCGUUUCAUUGGUGUGGAUGCUUUAUGCAAACUUAUUUUCGAGCACAUACAAACUGCUAGUAGAUUAGCUACAGGUUGUAUGUCCAACUCUUUGGAGGAGUUACGAGUCUUGAAGAAUUAUAAUAUUUCAUGUCAUCCACGUAAAGCUCCUUGUAUUAUUAAGGUUAAUUGGCAUCCUCCAAUCCUUGGGUGGAUGAAAAUUAAUACUGAUGGUGCGUGGCAGCGUACAUCAGGACGAGCCGGAUACGGUGGUAUUUUUCGUGACUUCCGUGGUUCUUUUCUUGGUGCCCUUUUGCGUCUAAUCUUGAUAUUCAUAGCUCCGUUGAGGCUGAGGUCAUGUCAGUAAUCCAAGCUAUUGAGUUAGCUUGGGUUAGAGAAUGGAAACAUAUAUGGCUUGAGGUGGACUCCACUCUUGUCCUUCAAUAUCUUCAGGAUCCUCAUCUUGUUCCUUGGCGGUUACGGGUGGCCUGAAGUAAUUGCUUGCACCAUAUCAAUAAAUUUAUUGUUUCUUGUACCUUUUUUUUAUCAAUAAAUUUUCGUGGGGGGACGAUGAGUUAAUCUCUCUAUGCUUACCCAAAAUAAACUUCACAAGAGUAAGAAAGGCACAAGUUGUUUUAUUGUAGUCGACUAUGGGCUUGAAAUGACAUCUUCAUCUUAUAUUAAACGGCUAACCAAAGGAGAGAAACUAAAAUCCCAACAGUAGUUACCAAAAACCAAAAACCAAAAACACAAAACUGACUAAAAGCCCAAGAUUAAUAGGUGACCCAGCAUGAUACAAUAUUGGGCUAAGGUAUUUUAUGUGUCAAAAGAUACAAACUAAACUGGUUAUCCAUUUUCAAACAAUUAAUUUGACCAGUUUAAGAUGAAAUUUUGAUGCUCAUGAGCCCUAAAGCUAGCUUAGGUUUUGUGUUUUGAAACAAGACUCGAUCAAGAGAAUUUAUAGUAUUAACGAUAACCCUAAUUUGAAAUAAGAAAAGACUUGCUCAACUCUUGUACACAUAUAAUAUUUCUUCUUUAAAUAAGUCGUGUAUGCGAGUUUUAUAUAUAAUAGAGCCUGACCAAUCUAAUACACAUGUUAUGCGAGUUUAUUUCAUGGUGGCGGGUUGACUCGUGGUUUAACCAUGUAUUAAAUGGGUGAUGAUGUAUUGACACGUCGCUCACCUGCUUUUUAAUCGUGCAGUUUCAACUUGCUUUAUUUCAUAUGGGUUUCUAGUUGUAUUAUUAUUCGAGUCGGAAAUGACAGCCCUAUACUAAUAGAUCGUCUAUUAAUUCUUUUCUUCUACUUCCCCAAGUUGAAUUCCUCGCUACAGGGUUCUCACUGUAACUUCUAAUAUUUUGCUUUCACUUUUCCGCCUCCUUUAGUCGUUAGAGCAAGUCAAUUUUUUUUAUGACCCAGGUCAUUAACCCCAUAAAAACAAUGGCCCAAACCCAAUUUUCACCCCUUCAACAGCUCCACCCAUCACAAUGGGUUAACCUCGAUAAUCACCCAAGUCAUUUCUUGGUUUAGAGUUGUGACCUAGAAGCUCACCACAAAUAACUUGGGUUAACCUAAUACCAAUUCAGAUGCAUGACCCGAAACCUGGGCAAUUUCAGCAAGCCAUCCGAGGCCCACAACUUGAGUGAUGCUAAGGUUCCGUGUGCGUGAGACGCACCAAAGGCUCAAGUGUGUGCAAGCCAACCAUUUGUCGCCUAGCCUUUCAAGGAAAAGUUGUCGGCAACAAAACCAUAAAUAUAAUCAUCAAAACAUAAUCAAUACCAUGCCAACACCUAAGUUAGCAAAUGUGUAGAGCGUGACAAGGAGAUGGAGUAUCAUACUACAUGCAGCUCGAACAGUGACUGGAGUCACCAAAACGUAGGGAAACCAGUCAAAAAUAGCCACUGCUCUCAACCUUUCAGCCUUCGUUUCUCUCUCCUUUGUCAAUGAUAUAUACAUUAAACCACCACCACAUAUGUGAUGAUGACGAAGAGACAAAGAGACAAAGAUAGAUGCGCCAGCUAAGGGCGAUUAGAGAUGGGGGAGACAGCCGGGUCAUCAUUUGAUGUGUACAAGUCGGUAUUCGGCUCGAGUGUUUCAAUCUAAUCAUACACCUAUAUAUACAUCCAUCAACUCCAUCAACUGCUAAGAUCAAAUGAUGAAGAUGAUUUUCAACGGUCCAUAUUGCAAUGCUUAAAGGCUAACCAAAUAAUUUCUUAAUAUUCCAAAACUUCUAAAAUCAUUCGAAUAUGAAAAUAUUUUCAGAUUUUCGACAAAAGAAGAAGAAAUAACGUACUCUAGGACUGAACAUAUGCUAGCAAAAACACCACAAAAUGUCAAAAUGGGUAUCAGAUCACCACACAGUGUGUAAGAGGAGCAAAAGAAAAUGACAAAGAUCAGGAGAAUUAAGAGAAGAAGCUAAGAAAAACCCACCCCAAAUUCUCAAGCCUUCGAUCUAGAUCCGGAGCGAUCAAGAUGUAGGCAAGAAAGAACGGGGACAACACUGGUUUUUCUCAUAUAUGUUUUCUCUCAAGAUUUUAGAGUGAGUGAGUUAUGAGUGAUUUGUAAUUCUUACACUAUUCUUUAUCCAUAAACCCAGAUCAUAUUAUAUAUAUGAGUUUGUUAUUUCACAAAAUGAAACUCUAUAUAAUGUGAAAAAAUGAGAAUGAGAAAGUAUAUCUCAUAUUAAAAACUUGAGACAUUGAUAUGAGUAUAUAACAAAUAUGACCCUUUGCUAGCCAUUGCUAAUGUUGUUAGCAAGGAAUCUAGGUGAUAUAGACAUUUUGCGGACGAGUAGGUCAUGCUUCUUAUGAAUAUAUUGUUCAAAGACAUUGAAAAUGCAGUUUGUUUAGUGAACUGUAAAAUUUAAUUGAGAAUGGAAUGUGAGGAAAGGAGCAACUUUGAGAGUUUGAGACCCCAAUAUUGAAAGAAAUUGAAUUGGUAGGAAUAAUCAUUCAUUCAUGUACCUAUGAACUCUUCUGUAAGUCUUUUGUAAAACUUAAUGAGCAACCAAGAUGAUUUCACAAGCAAUUAAACACAACAAAAUGAUCAAUAUAAUACUGAAACAUGAAACAAGAACUCACCAUCUUUAUGAGUUCUAGGAAUGUACUCACCAUUCAGAUCCAUCCUAGCCAUAGCACUUAAGCAGCAAAAACACAGCAACAAGAUUGAAUAGCCUCUGCAAUCCCAACGCCUUAGCACCUUGCUGCAACACACUUUGAGUCUUUAAUUCUACUUAGAUCUCAACUUUUUUCUAUGGGGCAGAACUAUAUUUUUCUUAUUGGGUCUCUAAAGCACCUGCUAUAUAAAGCUAGAUAAGCUCUUCCCAUAAGAGAGUGAUUCUAGCUGAAUACUUGAUUUUAGGAGUUUGAUGUUUGAUUAUCACAAUCAACGUAAAUGGAUUUCUAAUCAGAUGAGUGAUAUACUCCCAUCUGAUAACAAGAAAGAUUCUCUUAAUAAAUUUCCUAUUAAACAGAAAUUGAUCUUUCAAUUGUUUCUUAAUAUAGAUUAUAUUAGGUCCAAACAUAUUUUACAAUCUCUCACUUGGACAAAUAUUGUCUAUAUAACAAUUGCAUGAAGAAACAUAUAUGAAAAUAGCUAAAGUGUGCAUUGAGAUUGAUAAGAGCUGAAGAUCCGUUCACAACUGUCAAAAUUAUAGCAGCUAAUAGUGAACUUGGAAAUAAACAUGCCUAUGUAAACAUACUUGUUCCAGAUUACACAUAUCAACUUCUAUAUUUCACAUUAACCACAACACAGAUAUGAUAAAGAUCAAGUAUCAAUGUAUAUCAUGAUGUAGUAGUUACUUGAUCACAGUAUUAGCUAAAAAGUCACCGCUCAAGUAUAAAGGGUACACGUAAUAGUAUAGGGAUUAAGAAAUGUUGUCGAACCCACAAGGUUUGGAUUCCUUUCACUAGCUAGGGUGUUAACCUUAAGAGAGGUAGAAUGUGCAAAUGUACAAUCACAACCCUAAACACACAAGGAAAUCUAAGCUCAUGGUGAGUAUGUGCAACAUGGAGUAGUGAUUUGAUUUUGGGUUUUUGAAGUAGUUAACUAAACUAAACUAAAUGCUCAAAUGUAAACUAAAUUACUCUAAACUAAGCUAGUGGUCUAAUGAUUGGUGUUAGGAUUCGAAUUGUCUACCACUAACCUCUCUUGCAAGUAUUGAUGCAAAUCACU
Molecule: long non-coding RNA, 4690 nt
Filed under: Fragaria vesca (wild strawberry)
Lineage: Eukaryota; Viridiplantae; Streptophyta; Magnoliopsida; Rosales; Rosaceae
Description: long non-coding RNA (FVES_LNC001888)
Source: RNAcentral